This 920-nucleotide ribosomal RNA is filed under the name Escherichia coli. RNAcentral describes it as "partial 23S ribosomal RNA". It matches the Rfam family "Bacterial large subunit ribosomal RNA", at positions 371 to 1293 of the family's 2925-position model. The record is from RNAcentral. Lineage: Bacteria; Pseudomonadati; Pseudomonadota; Gammaproteobacteria; Enterobacterales; Enterobacteriaceae.
CCCCGUACACAAAAAUGCACAUGCUGUGAGCUCGAUGAGUAGGGCGGGACACGUGGUAUCCUGUCUGAAUAUGGGGGGACCAUCCUCCAAGGCUAAAUACUCCUGACUGACCGAUAGUGAACCAGUACCGUGAGGGAAAGGCGAAAAGAACCCCGGCGAGGGGAGUGAAAAAGAACCUGAAACCGUGUACGUACAAGCAGUGGGAGCACGCUUCGGCGUGUGACUGCGUACCUUUUGUAUAAUGGGUCAGCGACUUAUAUUCUGUAGCAAGGUUAACCGAAUAGGGGAGCCGAAGGGAAACCGAGUCUUAACUGGGCGUUAAGUUGCAGGGUAUAGACCCGAAACCCGGUGAUCUAGCCAUGGGCAGGUUGAAGGUUGGGUAACACUAACUGGAGGACCGAACCGACUAAUGUUGAAAAAUUAGCGGAUGACUUGUGGCUGGGGGUGAAAGGCCAAUCAAACCGGGAGAUAGCUGGUUCUCCCCGAAAGCUAUUUAGGUAGCGCCUCGUGAAUUCAUCUCCGGGGGUAGAGCACUGUUUCGGCAAGGGGGUCAUCCCGACUUACCAACCCGAUGCAAACUGCGAAUACCGGAGAAUGUUAUCACGGGAGACACACGGCGGGUGCUAACGUCCGUCGUGAAGAGGGAAACAACCCAGACCGCCAGCUAAGGUCCCAAAGUCAUGGUUAAGUGGGAAACGAUGUGGGAAGGCCCAGACAGCCAGGAUGUUGGCUUAGAAGCAGCCAUCAUUUAAAGAAAGCGUAAUAGCUCACUGGUCGAGUCGGCCUGCGCGGAAGAUGUAACGGGGCUAAACCAUGCACCGAAGCUGCGGCAGCGACGCUUAUGCGUUGUUGGGUAGGGGAGCGUUCUGUAAGCCUGUGAAGGUGUGCUGUGAGGCAUGCUGGAGGUAUCAGAAGUGCGA